AUAGCAUCGACUUAAAUAGAUAUAUAUAGUCCGGUUAUUAUAUUCUUAUGAGUAUAUGUCUUUCUGUAUUCAUAAAUUUUCGGCCAUUAGAUCUACCUCUUUGACAAUUUUCAUCCGUUAGAUCAUACUAUUCAAUCAGCAAAUCACUUAAUUCUAGAAAAACACUAUCAUCCUAAUCGGAAAUCACUAUUAUACUAAUCGAAGACCACUAUCAUUCUAACCGCACAUUCCUUCAUCCAACGACUGAAAAAUUAUGAGUACAAAAGAGACUAUACUCAUAAGAGUAUAGUAGCCAGACUCAUCCUUUUACAUAGGUCUUUUUUAUGAUGUAAAUUAUUUUUAAGCGCUUAGAUCUUCGUUUUGAAACUUCUAUGAUAGGUCAAUUUUAGUUUGUGUAAUAAGUUUGUAACUUAAAAGUAUGUAGUUGAAUUCUUACUCAAAGUAAUUAAUAAUAUCAUGAUAAUUCAAGCACUAUAAUAUGCAUAUGUCGUUAAAAGCACAACGGACCUAGGGCUUGAUAGUUGAAUCUAAGAUCCUAAAUUUUAAGCCUAAUUGUUUGUUUGGGGCAAUUUCACCACUACCCCUCUCAAAUAUGAAAAUAUCAUAAAUACCCCUACAAAAUUGAAAAUAUCAUAUAUACCCCUUCAAAUGCAAAAAUUUUUCACAAUUACCCUUCCAUCUAACGACUGUUACUUAAACUAUGGUUGAAGUUGGGUUAAAUAAAAGUUGAGUUACAAAAUGACUAAUUUAGCCCUAAAAAGGUUAGGUAUUAUUUUGAUAGCAAAUAAUGAAAUAAUUAAGGGGCAAUUUCAUAAGUACCCUUCUAAAUUUUAAAAAUAAUAUCUCUAGCACUAAUUAUUAGUGGGUAAAAAAUAAAGAAACCCCUCACUUGUAAAUCAUUUUGAACUAGAACCCUUUAAGUUUUAUUUUUUAACACUAAAAGAGACCUUGAACUAUCAGUUUUUUUUUAUUUUGACUUUACUUAGUUAAAAGUUUUUUAAUUGAGAUCCCUCGCAUGAAUUUGAUAAAAUUUUUAAUUUUGUUGGAAAAAAACACUCAAUUGCUAAAAUUUUUUAAAAAAAACACUUAGGUUGAGAGGGUAUAUAUAUAUAAAGAGUUUUGUUAUAAUACUAUCGGUAGUACAACUUGGGUUACUAUGAUUUGUUUUCGAUGAUAGGAUUUCCAAAUUGACAAUUAGCACCGUUAAAUAUGAUAUAAACCAUUUAAACUAUCUGAAAAUCAAAUUUCACGCUUUUCUGAGUUACGAUCAUGUCGAAGUGAACUAUAGAUGAGAGGGUUUUCAUAAAAUUUUACUUUAUUGUUAACAAUAAAUUUUCAAUUAAAAAAAUUUUGUUUAAGCAGAUCAUAUAAGUAAUACUCUAAUAUAGAGAAUUUUGAUAUCAAAAUAUUUUUAGCAUGAGAUAUGUGAGUUAUUUAAAUAAAAUUUUUAAAAAUAAAUCUUUAAAUAGUUAAUGUUGAAUUCUACUAUAGACAAAUUGCAUUAUAACUAUGUAUAAUUUAAAAGCGAAAAAUCAUAAUGAGAUUUAACUAUCACACUUAAUAGACUAUGGAUCUUUAAUUGUAAUAUUUUAGAAAUAAUGUUAAAUUAUUAUGUGAUUCAAAUGUUAAAAAUUGAUCAUAUAAUUAAUCUUAAAUAUUAAAUGUUUAAAUUGUUGCUAGGGGUAAAAUUGGUAUUUAUAAAAUAUUGGACGACCAUUUGACUGAAAGUUAAGCUAAAGGGUAUCUGUGAAUAUUUUUGGGUUUUAGAGGGGUAUUGAUGAUAUUUUUCAGUUUAGAGGGUUAUCCAUGAAAUUAUGAUUUUUCAUAGGGGUAUUGAUGAAAUUAUUCCUUGUUUUAUAUUUCUAGUUUAUUUAUAAAAAGAACAAACAAAAUGAAUAGAUUGUUAUCUUUCUCUUUCACCCAAAAAAAAAAAAAAAACAUACAAAUUUUUCUAGUCAAUCCAUUAUUCGACUUAUAAUCUAAUUUCAGCAUAUGAGAUUUAUUAACUAUAUUGUUAAAUAAAAAAUAUAAAAUACCGUUUUUCUAUUAGCUUAAGUUAGCUUUCAGAAAUUAAUGAUUGUUUCGUAUUUUUUAACAUUGUAUUAUACAGAAGGUUAUGAGUUCGCAUCAUGAAUUUAUCAAAAAAAUUUCGAGCCCAGACUCAAAAGGGAAUGUUAAAUAAACAUAUAAAAAAACCGUUCAAUAUUAGCUUAAAUUUUUUAAGAACAAAGUUUCGUAUUAUUUAACAUAUAGAAAUGUGUCCGGCUACUAUACUCUUACGAGUAUUGUCUAUUUUGUGUUUAUAAUUUUUCGACCGUUAGAUCUACUCCUUUGACCAUUUUCAUCUGUUAGAUCAUGUAUUAUUCAACCAAUCAACCACUCAACCCUAGGGGACCACUAACAUCCUAACCGCAUAUCCUUUCAUCCAAGGAUUGAAAACGUAUGAGAAAGGAUUUACACUUAUAAAAGUAUAAUAGCCCUAGCGGUAAAAAAGAUAUAUAUUUGUUGAUACCUU
This 2515-nucleotide long non-coding RNA is filed under the name Ananas comosus (pineapple). Its description in RNAcentral is "long non-coding RNA (ACOM_LNC006068)". The record is from RNAcentral. Lineage: Eukaryota; Viridiplantae; Streptophyta; Magnoliopsida; Poales; Bromeliaceae.